AGUUGAAACAGAGUGCUGGGCUCGUCCAUAACCCUAGAGAGAGGAUGACCACCAGUUUGCUAGUUUUUUGCUUUGGGAGUCCACCCAGAAGCCGCAGCAAUAGCGCUGGAGAAAGUAAGCAAAUCCUACCAUCCUAACCAUACUGGGAACACGCUGAGGACUGGUGAUGCCUGAGGAGCCAAGGAGAUGAGCCCUUCCCCCCGGUGGCACAAAGAUGAAGGGGAGGAAGAAGACACUUUCGAAGUGAGAGACGGAAUUUAAAAGGUCCCGAUCAUGGCACUCCUUUCUGCCUAAACCCCGACGUUCCUAGGUCAGCCUGGCUACGCGUUAGUACAAAUCGUGAUGUAGUAGCAGUCACAACCCCGCCCCCAGCAACUGCUAGGCUAAGGCCCCGCCCCCAACCUUCGUCCCGCCCUUAAGGGCGCAAAGGCCCCGCCCUCACCGUGGUACUCAGCCCAUUUGUAGCCACGCACGAUUUCUUUGCACUCCCUCGCCGGAUCCCCGGAAGGCUCUGCUAAGUGGACUCGAAUCAGCACGUACUUGAAGACGCCAUCCGAAUCAAUGUCCACAUCAGGAAUCUGACCUAGGUCCGCCGCCAUGUUCCCCAAAGCGCUCGGUCUCUGGGCCCCACAGCCCCUUACCCAACCCGACCGAGGCCUAUGCGCAGGGAGGCGGGCCCUUUGGCAGCCCCGGCCAAUCCCGUGAGGGAAUGCUUCCCGGGGCCCAGAGCCUCAGCCAGUUGUACCUCCAACCUGAGGCACGGACUGGCCAAUUGCAACCCAGUUCUUUGCAGCUUUGGGGAUCGUGAGUCCCAGUUAAAGGAGCCGAGGCAUAGGUUAAUCCGUGGUGCUGUAAAUCAAGCCGCUGCAGGUGGGCAGCGAAAGAGGAUGCAAGGACGCACCCCGGCUCCACUCCUGGGUCCUAAGGCUUCAAUCUGUAAACCAUAAAUCUGAAGUCCUCUCUUCCCCAACACCCGUAAA
Long non-coding RNA from Mastomys coucha (southern multimammate mouse), 980 nucleotides. RefSeq lists it as uncharacterized. NCBI's taxonomy places the organism in Eukaryota, Metazoa, Chordata, Mammalia, Rodentia, Muridae. The record is from RefSeq and is a predicted model, not a curated record. The transcript has 2 exons.